Molecule: long non-coding RNA, 1140 nt
Filed under: Gossypium raimondii (Peruvian cotton)
Lineage: Eukaryota; Viridiplantae; Streptophyta; Magnoliopsida; Malvales; Malvaceae
Description: long non-coding RNA (GRAI_LNC006340)
Source: RNAcentral
CCCUGGGUUUCUACAGUACGCGCAUAAUCUCUGUUUACUAUCCCUCUCCUGAAUAUCCAUGUUGUUCCUUAUCUUUAUGGAAUUUAGGCGACCAAUUCAUCGUCGAAGUACGUUGGGUGCAUUUCCACAUUAGUUUUAAAACUUAGUACAUACCGAUCCAAUACCAGACACCAUUGCCACAGAUAGUUGUACGAACAUCUGGCUCCUCCCCAUCAACUGCAUCUGCUGCCCUUCUUCCUCACCUGUAUCUUCCACAGCCACCCUUCUUCAUUGACCGCAUUUUCUUCCCCGAUCGUAUUUUUUUCCUCAUCUGCACCUUCAUUAUCACCUUCAAGUAAGGAGUUAGACGUACCCUCAUCGAUCCUCGUUGAAAGGAUUAGGUCAUUGAUUCUCUUGUAACCCUAUGUGCCCAUAAAAAAAUGAACCGGUUUGAUGUCAGUGUACAUCAAUGAUCCCCCCGUAUAACUGCUUUCGCCCCAUGACAUCGACCUAGUGUCGAAGUUAAAAUUAAACACAUUGAUUGAAUGUCGAGCCCGAGUGUCCAAAUUGGGGUUAUGCUCAAGCCUCGACAAGUACUGGCCACCAAAGUUUAGAUCCGUGCCAAAGAUUGAUGAGUGUCUCCCCAACGAUGUUCGGAAAUUAAUUUCUUUUCUCAUGAAGCUUGUCAUAAUUAAUUUUAAAUUUUAAGAGUUGGCUGCAGCACAAUUAAAGGAAAGAGAAAUAAUUAAUUAUUUGACAUUUCUCUUGAAGCUUGCCUGCAAUUAUUAUUUUUAUUUAAAGAGUUACAGUAAAUUUUUUUCUUUUUGUCAGCCAAAAUUAUUUUAAAAUUAAAAUUUAAAAUUUUUCUACGCCACAGUUAGUUCUUUCUCUUUUCUUGAGCUCUUUUAAAGAAAUAUGUUUACAAUUAAUUUCCUUUCCAAUAAAGUUUGUUAUUUUCAUUAUAGUCUUUUAUAGUUUUCUUUCCAUAUAACUAUUUUUCAAAUAGAAAAUUAUAUUUCAUGCACCAUUAUCACCCUUUCUUAUUUAAAAAAAAAUAAAGCCCAAAAAAAAUAAAAAAAAUUCUCAUAUUCACCUGUAAAACACAGUUGGAGAAUCUAGAAACUCCGACGAUGUAAAGUUGAAUCGAUGCAUCCCCCACCA